Molecule: ribosomal RNA, 408 nt
Filed under: uncultured bacterium
Lineage: Bacteria
Description: bacterial SSU rRNA
Rfam family: Bacterial small subunit ribosomal RNA
Source: RNAcentral
AUUAGGAAUCUUGCACAAUGGGGGAAACCCUGAUGCAGCGACGCCGCGUGCGGGAGGAAGGCCUUCGGGUCGUAAACCGCUUUUGACAGGGAAGAAGAAUGUGACGGUACCUGUCGAAUAAGCCCCGGCUAACUACGUGCCAGCAGCCGCGGUAAUACGUAGGGGGCGAGCGUUGUCCGAAGUUACUGGGCGUAAAGCGCGCGUAGGCGGUUCUUUAAGUCUGGGGUGAAAGGUUCAGCGCUCAACGUGAACAGUGCCUUGGAUACUGGGGGACUUGAGUGUGGGAGAGGGCAGUGGAAUUCCUGGUGUAGCGGUGAAAUGCGUAGAUAUCAGGAGGAACACCGAUGGCGAAGGCAGCUGCCUGGCCUAACACUGACGCUGAGGUGCGAAAGCGUGGGGAGCGAACAG